UAUAGAGGGGGGUUGGGUGAGGCAUGGCAAGUCGCGGGGGACGGAUGAGCAGUCGCAAGGCUGCGAGUCCUAGUAAACCGGCGCAAGGGUGAGCAGUAGGUAGAUAACGUACCCUGGAGAUGGGGAUAACGGUCCCAACGGACCGCUAAUACCCGAUAAGACCACGAGAGGGCAACCUCUUGAGGUCAAAGGCGGGGGACCUUCGGGCCUCGCGCUCUGGGAUCGGUCUACUUCCUACCAGCUAGUUGGCGGGGUAACGGCCCAACAAGGCUACGACGGGUACCCGGGCUGAGGGGCUGAACGGGCACAUCGGCACUGAGACACUGGCCGGACACCUACGGGUGGCUGCAGUUCGGAAUAUUGGGCAAUGGGCGCAAGCCUGACCCAGCGACGCCGCGUGGAGGAUGAAGGCCCUCUGGGUUGUAAACUUCUGUCACGGGCGAACAAGUCAUUCCGGGUGAACAACUCGGGAUGUUGAGCUUAGCCUGGGAGGAAGCCCCCGCUAAUCACGUGCCAGCAGCGGCGGUAAUACGUGAGGGGCAAACGUUGUUCGGUGUCACUGGGCUUAAAGGGCGCGUAGGUGGCUGGGCAAGUAAGGUGUGAAGGCCCUCGGCUUACCCGAGGAAGGGCGCCUUAGACUGCCCGGCUUGAGGACCAGAGAGGCCGGAGGAACUCUAGGUGUAGCGGUGAAAUGCGUAGAUAUCUGGGGGAAGGCCGGUGGCGAAGGCGUCCGGCUGGCUGGUUCCUGACACUGAGGCGCGAAAGCGUGGGGAGCAAACAGGAUUAGAUACCCUGGUAGUCCACGCCCUAAACGAUGGACACUAAGCGGGUAGCCACCAAAGGCCGCCUGCCGUAGCGCAAGCGUUAAGUGUCCCGCCUGGGGAGUAUGGCCGCAAGGCUGAAACUCAAAGGAAUUGACGG
This 921-nucleotide ribosomal RNA is filed under the name uncultured Planctomycetota bacterium. RNAcentral's name for it is "bacterial SSU rRNA". It matches the Rfam family "Bacterial small subunit ribosomal RNA", at positions 1 to 916 of the family's 1533-position model. The record is from RNAcentral. Lineage: Bacteria; Pseudomonadati; Planctomycetota.